UGGCAACCCUGGUUUACCACAGCAGUCCCAAAGGCCUGAAGCUGGAAGACAAGCCUGAGAGACAUCAUCCUCACAGAUCUGUGAUGUUCUCAACCUUGAUCAGAGAAGCUUCUUUCCACAGUGGGCAGAACUGCUCCAAGUGUUUGGAAUAAAUGACUUUGCUCAUAGAUGGACACUGAGAUGGGCACAGUAUGCCCUAAAUGGGGCAUCUAUAUCAGCCCCUCUCCAGUACUCCCCAGGCCCAGGAAAUAUCAAGGAAAAGGAGGAAUAAAGAAUGUAUAUUGGACAUGACAGGAACUCACAACAGCUGAACAAGACCAACCAGUCAAAAUUCCACUUUUGAUAAAAGAUGGGCUCACAAAGGCCCCACCUCUAGCUGAGGAGGAAUUAAGAGUUGAUGGCUGCUGGGGAGGGAGACUCUUCUUUGGGGGGAUGUGGUCACUGGGAGGUUGCCUGUGCUCUGAUGGAUGCCUCUACUUCUAUGUGCAUGGAGACAGCACUAAUGGAUUCUG
RNAcentral lists this long non-coding RNA (512 nucleotides) under Cricetulus griseus (Chinese hamster). RNAcentral's name for it is "lncRNA (ENSCGRG00015042930.1)". Lineage: Eukaryota; Metazoa; Chordata; Mammalia; Rodentia; Cricetidae. The record is from RNAcentral.